UACGGGGGGGGUAAGCGUUGUUCGGAAUUACUGGGCGUAAAGGGCUCGUAGGCGGCCAACUAAGUCAGACGUGAAAUCCCUCGGCUUAACCGGGGAACUGCGUCUGAUACUGGAUGGCUGGAGGUUGGGAGAGGGAUGCGGAAUUCCAGGUGUAGCGGUGAAAUGCGUAGAUAUCUGGAGGAACACCGGUGGCGAAGGCGGCAUCCUGGACCAAUUCUGACGCUGAGGAGCGAAAGCCAGGGGAGCAAACGGG
RNAcentral lists this ribosomal RNA (253 nucleotides) under uncultured bacterium. RNAcentral's name for it is "partial 16S ribosomal RNA". It matches the Rfam family "Bacterial small subunit ribosomal RNA", at positions 524 to 776 of the family's 1533-position model. The record is from RNAcentral.